CUUGGUCAUUUAGAGGAAGUAAAAGUCGUAACAAGGUCUCCGUUGGUGAACCAGCGGAGGGAUCAUUACCGAGUUUACAACUCCCAAACCCAAUGUGAACCAUACCAAACUGUUGCCUCGGCGGGGUCACGCCCCGGGUGCGUCGCAGCCCCGGAACCAGGCGCCCGCCGGAGGGACCAACCAAACUCUUUCUGUAGUCCCCUCGCGGACGUUAUUUCUUACAGCUCUGAGCAAAAAUUCAAAAUGAAUCAAAACUUUCAACAACGGAUCUCUUGGUUCUGGCAUCGAUGAAGAACGCAGCGAAAUGCGAUAAGUAAUGUGAAUUGCAGAAUUCAGUGAAUCAUCGAAUCUUUGAACGCACAUUGCGCCCGCCAGUAUUCUGGCGGGCAUGCCUGUCCGAGCGUCAUUUCAACCCUCGAACCCCUCCGGGGGGUCGGCGUUGGGGAUCGGGAACCCCUAAGACGGGAUCCCGGCCCCGAAAUACAGUGGCGGUCUCGCCGCAGCCUCUCCUGCGCAGUAGUUUGCACAACUCGCACCGGGAGCGCGGCGCGUCCACGUCCGUAAAACACCCAACUUCUGAAAUGUUGACCUCGGAUCAGGUAGGAAUACCCGCUGAACUUAAGCAUAUCAAUAAGCGGAGGA
This 642-nucleotide ribosomal RNA is filed under the name uncultured Trichoderma. RNAcentral's name for it is "eukaryotic LSU rRNA". The stretch from base 253 to 406 matches the Rfam family "5.8S ribosomal RNA". Lineage: Eukaryota; Fungi; Ascomycota; Sordariomycetes; Hypocreales; Hypocreaceae. The record is from RNAcentral.